Molecule: ribosomal RNA, 869 nt
Filed under: uncultured bacterium
Lineage: Bacteria
Description: bacterial SSU rRNA
Rfam family: Bacterial small subunit ribosomal RNA
Source: RNAcentral
CAUGCAAGUCGAACGGAGCUGAGAGGAGCUUGCUUUUCUUAGCUUAGUGGCGAACGGGUGAGUAACGCGUGAGUAACCUGCCCUGGAGUGGGGGACAACAGUUGGAAACGACUGCUAAUACCGCAUAAGCCCACGAUCCGGCAUCGGAUUGAGGGAAAAGGAUUUAUUCGCUUCAGGAUGGACUCGCGUCCAAUUAGCUAGUUGGUGAGGUAACGGCCCACCAAGGCGACGAUUGGUAGCCGGACUGAGAGGUUGAACGGCCACAUUGGGACUGAGACACGGCCCAGACUCCUACGGGAGGCAGCAGUGGGGGAUAUUGCACAAUGGGGGAAACCCUGAUGCAGCGACGCCGCGUGGAGGAAGAAGGUUUUCGGAUUGUAAACUCCUGUCGUUAGGGACGAUAAUGACGGUACCUAACAAGAAAGCACCGGCUAACUACGUGCCAGCAGCCGCGGUAAAACGUAGGGUGCAAGCGUUGUCCGGAAUUACUGGGUGUAAAGGGAGCGCAGGCGGACCGGCAAGUUGGAAGUGAAAACUAUGGGCUCAACCCAUAAAUUGCUUUCAAAACUGCUGGCCUUGAGUAGUGCAGAGGUAGGUGGAAUUCCCGGUGUAGCGGUGGAAUGCGUAGAUAUCGGGAGGAACACCAGUGGCGAAGGCGACCUACUGGGCACCAACUGACGCUGAGGCUCGAAAGCAUGGGUAGCAAACAGGAUUAGAUACCCUGGUAGUCCAUGCCGUAAACGAUGAUUACUAGGUGUUGGAGGAUUGACCCCUUCAGUGCCGCAGUUAACACAAUAAGUAAUCCACCUGGGGAGUACGACCGCAAGGUUGAAACUCAAAGGAAUUGACGGGGGCCCGCACAAGCAGUG